RNAcentral lists this ribosomal RNA (445 nucleotides) under uncultured bacterium. RNAcentral describes it as "partial 16S ribosomal RNA". It matches the Rfam family "Bacterial small subunit ribosomal RNA", at positions 354 to 796 of the family's 1533-position model. The record is from RNAcentral.
GUGAGGAAUAUUGGUCAAUGGCCGAGAGGCUGAACCAGCCAAGUCGCGUGAAGGAAGAAGGAUCUAUGGUUUGUAAACUUCUUUUAUAGGGGAAUAAAGUGGAGGACGUGUCCUUUUUUGUAUGUACCCUAUGAAUAAGCAUCGGCUAACUCCGUGCCAGCAGCCGCGGUAAUACGGAGGAUGCGAGCGUUAUCCGGAUUUAUUGGGUUUAAAGGGUGCGUAGGUGGUGAUUUAAGUCAGCGGUGAAAGUUUGUGGCUCAACCAUAAAAUUGCCGUUGAAACUGGGUUACUUGAGUGUGUUUGAGGUAGGCGGAAUGCGUGGUGUAGCGGUGAAAUGCAUAGAUAUCACGCAGAACUCCGAUUGCGAAGGCAGCUUACUAAACCAUAACUGACACUGAAGCACGAAAGCGUGGGGAUCAAACAGGAUUAGAAACCCCGGUAGUCC